Molecule: unclassified non-coding RNA, 367 nt
Filed under: Hevea brasiliensis (rubber tree)
Lineage: Eukaryota; Viridiplantae; Streptophyta; Magnoliopsida; Malpighiales; Euphorbiaceae
Source: RNAcentral
AUAGAAGAUUAAAAUUCGAAACUUUAAAUUUCCAUCUACCAAAAAAAAAAUUGAAAGAUAAUUUAAAGAGCCUAUAGCGACUAUUAACCUAAAUGACGGUGAAUUUCACAUUUCCAUAAAUAAUAUAUUAAAACAUAUAAUUUAAAAUUAUCUGCGUGCGCCUAGUUUCCGCAGCUAAAGAAUGGAACAAUUAAACACGUAGAAAAUGAAUAAAAACGAAAAACCAAAAAGUAGGAAAAAGAAAAAGCAUAAAAACAAAAGCUCGCUAGCGAUUGCGUUGCGUGAUCUUUGAUCGAAACAUGAUAGUGAAGAUAUACUUAAAGAGCUUUAUAUGCCAAGAAAGUGUGGAGUGAUCGGCUAACGUACC